Molecule: long non-coding RNA, 627 nt
Filed under: Brassica napus (rape)
Lineage: Eukaryota; Viridiplantae; Streptophyta; Magnoliopsida; Brassicales; Brassicaceae
Description: long non-coding RNA (BNAP_LNC026144)
Source: RNAcentral
AGACUAUAAACCAGUUUCUGAAUCUCAUAAUAAGAAUCAGCAGACACACUGUCUUCCGGCAAAUACUCUUUAAACAAGUCCGCCCAUUCGUUCAUGCAACUUUCAGGUAGAUUGUGAUCAGUUUUAAUAUUCAUCAUUCUAGCGGCUAACGACAAUUUAGAGAGACCUUCUCUACAACCACUGUAAAGUGGUUGAUUCGCCGCGUUUAACAUUUCGUAAAACUUUUUUGCAUCUAUAUUAAGUUCUUCAUCUUCAUCAUGAGCUACGAAUGCAUCAGCUACCAUAUCAUGAACCCUAUCAUAAUCUAUCAUCUCCUCCUGAUGAUAACUAUGUUCAUUAUGCAAACGAUGAUCAACCGGUUCUUUUUCCUGAAAAUUGCUAUUAUUACUACUAGCUUCAUUCUGAUCAUAAUUAAAACCUUCUCCAUGUUGAAACCAGAUAUAGUAAUUUGGCGUGAAACCUCUAUUUAUAAAUGCUUCCAAACAUUUUCACGGUUUGCCAGUUUCGAAUUGUUGCAUUUCUGACAAGGACAGGACAUCUUACCACUUUCUUGAGCGAGCGGUACGUGUUGAAUCUGCUUGAUGCAUAAAUGUCUCCAGGCCGGCAAGGUAUUCUUUCGUCACUCUC